ACAGAGACUGCAAGCGUUAUUCGGAUUCACUGGGCGUAAAGCGUGCGCAGGCGGUUUUGUAAGACAGAGGUGAAAUCCCCGGGCUUAACCUGGGAACUGCAUUUGUGACUGCAAGGCUGGAGUGCGGCAGAGGGGGAUGGAAUUCCGCGUGUAGCAGUGAAAUGCGUAGAUAUGCGGAGGAACACCGAUGGCGAAGGCAAUCCCCUGGGCCUGCACUGACGCUCAUGCACGAAAGCGUGGGGAGCAAACAGGA
RNAcentral lists this ribosomal RNA (253 nucleotides) under uncultured prokaryote. RNAcentral describes it as "partial 16S ribosomal RNA". It matches the Rfam family "Bacterial small subunit ribosomal RNA", at positions 525 to 777 of the family's 1533-position model. The record is from RNAcentral.